CCACCAGACUCCUACGGGAGGCAGCAGUGAGGAAUAUUGGUCAAUGGGCUUACGCCUGAACCAGCCAAGUCGCGUGAGGGAAGACGGCCCUACGGGUUGUAAACCUCUUUUGUCGGGGAGCAAAGCGAACCACGUGUGGUUCAUUGAGAGUACCCGAAGAAAAAGCAUCGGCUAACUCCGUGCCAGCAGCCGCGGUAAUACGGAGGAUGCGAGCGUUAUCCGGAUUUAUUGGGUUUAAAGGGUGCGCAGGCGGAGGUGCAAGUCAGCGGUCAAAUUGCGGGGCUCAACCCCGUACUGCCGUUGAAACUGCAUCCCUUGAGUGCGCGAGAAGUAUGCGGAAUGCGUGGUGUAGCGGUGAAAUGCAUAGAUAUCACGCAGAACUCCGAUUGCGAAGGCAGCGUACCGGCGCCCAACUGACGCUGAAGCACGAAGGCGUGGGUAUCGAACAGGAUUAGAUGCCCGAGUAAC
Molecule: ribosomal RNA, 468 nt
Filed under: uncultured bacterium
Lineage: Bacteria
Description: bacterial SSU rRNA
Rfam family: Bacterial small subunit ribosomal RNA
Source: RNAcentral